This is a long non-coding RNA of Maniola jurtina (meadow brown), 121 nucleotides long. RefSeq lists it as uncharacterized. The record is from RefSeq and is a predicted model, not a curated record. The transcript has 3 exons. Lineage: Eukaryota; Metazoa; Arthropoda; Insecta; Lepidoptera; Nymphalidae.
GAAUGUUUUUUGAAAGCUUUUUUGUGAUUGAUUGGUGACUCAAAGUGGUUAACGCCCACUGAGAUUUUCGUCUCUAUCAUUUGUAUGGGACUACGUAACAGAGAGAGCGCUAUACUUACUU